Anopheles gambiae (African malaria mosquito) is the source of this 541-nucleotide long non-coding RNA. RefSeq lists it as uncharacterized. The record is from RefSeq and is a predicted model, not a curated record. The transcript has 3 exons. Lineage: Eukaryota; Metazoa; Arthropoda; Insecta; Diptera; Culicidae.
UUUUGAAAGCAUUCUGCUCGCCUUAAAAGCUGAGUAGGCCCAGCUUAGGACCAGCAUAGGGACCAAGAUCCAUUUAUUUUUUUACGACUAUUUUAAUCACAUUUUAUCAUUCAAGGUGGCUAGCAAAUGCUGAGAAGUGUUUUAAGCACGAUUAAAAUAAUCAUGCUCACACAUUUUCAGAACUCCGACCCCAACCUCCACGUGGUGCUGGCUGGACUACAACUGUUGCACAAAAUGUGCAACAAUUGUAUACCAACUGGGGCGGGGGUAUUGUGUUUUUUGUUUGUUGUUUCAGAUCACCGUUUUGCUGUCGAUCAACGGAUACAUUUAUAGUUUUGCUUGCAGCAAAACAAAGUAACUUUUAUGUGCGACAUCGAACCACCAAUCCAUCUCAGAACCAUGUCCUGUCGACACUCUCACCAAGGACGGUUUUAUAUGAUGUAUGCGGCGUGCGGAGUGAGUGGCAAACGAUACUUCAUCUAAGCUGCUCAACGUUUUCUUCCUCUGCUGCGGUAUCAGAAUCGUAACAUCGUAAAUAUGG